CACGUAGGCGGAUUGGCAAGUCGGUUGUGAAAGCCCGGGGCUCAACCCCGGAACUGCUUCCGAAACUGCCAGUCUGGAGGACGAGAGGGGAGAGUGGAACUUCUGGUGGAGCGGUGAAAUGCGUAGAUAUCAGAAGGAACACCGGUGGCGAAAGCGACUCUCUGGCUCGUUUCUGACGCUGAGGUGCGAAAGCUAGGGUAGCGAACG
RNAcentral lists this ribosomal RNA (207 nucleotides) under uncultured bacterium. RNAcentral describes it as "partial 16S ribosomal RNA". It matches the Rfam family "Bacterial small subunit ribosomal RNA", at positions 568 to 774 of the family's 1533-position model. The record is from RNAcentral.